UGGAGCAAAACUUCAAAAAUAGGUCUCAGUUCGGACUGUAGGCUGCAACUCGCCUACACGAAGUUGGAAUUGCUAGUAAUCGUGGAUCAGCAUGCCACGGUGAAUACGUUCCCGGGUCUUGUACACACCGCCCGUCACACCAUGGGAGCUGGUAACACCCGAAGUCAGUAGUCUAACCGCAAGGAGGACGCUGCCGAAGGUGGGAUUAGCGACUGGGGUGAAGUCGUAACAAGGUACC
RNAcentral lists this ribosomal RNA (238 nucleotides) under uncultured bacterium. RNAcentral describes it as "partial 16S ribosomal RNA". It matches the Rfam family "Bacterial small subunit ribosomal RNA", at positions 1263 to 1500 of the family's 1533-position model. The record is from RNAcentral.